AGUGAACGCUGGCGGUAGGCCUAACACAUGCAAGUCGAACGGCAGCACAGUAAGAGCUUGCUCUUACGGGUGGCGAGUGGCGGACGGGUGAGGAAUACAUCGGAAUCUACUUUUUCGUGGGGGAUAACGUAGGGAAACUUACGCUAAUACCGCAUACGACCUACGGGUGAAAGCAGGGGUUCUUCGGACCUUGCGCGAUUGAAUGAGCCGAUGUCGGAUUAGCAAGUUGGCGGGGUAAAGGCCCACCAAGGCGACGAUCCGUAGCUGGUCUGAGAGGAUGAUCAGCCACACUGGAACUGAGACACGGUCCAGACUCCUACGGGAGGCAGCAGUGGGGAAUAUUGGACAAUGGGCGCAAGCCUGAUCCAGCCAUACCGCGUGGGUGAAGAAGGCCUUCGGGUUGUAAAGCCCUUUUGUUGGGAAAGAAAAGCAGCAGGUUAAUACCCCGCUGUUCUGACGGUACCCAAAGAAUAAGCACCGGCUAACUUCGUG
This 492-nucleotide ribosomal RNA is filed under the name uncultured bacterium. RNAcentral's name for it is "partial 16S ribosomal RNA". It matches the Rfam family "Bacterial small subunit ribosomal RNA", at positions 29 to 507 of the family's 1533-position model. The record is from RNAcentral.